This 789-nucleotide long non-coding RNA is filed under the name Ananas comosus (pineapple). RNAcentral describes it as "long non-coding RNA (ACOM_LNC013066)". The record is from RNAcentral. Lineage: Eukaryota; Viridiplantae; Streptophyta; Magnoliopsida; Poales; Bromeliaceae.
CGGUCGGUCAGUCGUGUUGUCUUAAAUGGGUCAGCAUCCUAUCUUAUGGUAGAAGGUAAGAUUGGGCCGAGUCACGUUCGAAAUGGCGUGAGGCCAGAUUGAGCCGAGUCACAAUCGAGACCUGUGGACGCUGUGUCUGUUUGCUUUAAGUAUAUUAAUUGCAUAUUUCUAAUAGCUCGAGCUUUUAGAAUUAAUGGUUAGCGCCAACGAUCCGGUACGUAGUAUCAAAGCCAGAGGGUGGCGAGAGUAAUUGUUGGCUUAAAUGGACUAGCAUCUUACCUUAUGUGCAAGAGGCUAGGUAGGGCCUAUCGAGUCACGUUCGAAAUAGCGUGAGGCCGGAUUAGGCCGAGUCAUAUUUGAUAUAGGGUGAGGCUAGUUGAGCCAAGUCACAAUUAAGACCCGUGGGCACUCUAUCUGUACAUUUUAAGUGAAUUGGUUAUGCAUUUUUAAUAGCUCGAGCUUUUAUGAUUAAUGGUUAGCGCCAACGAUCCGAUAAAUAGUAUCAGAGUCAGAGGUCAUGGGUUCCCACAUGUUGCAAAUUUGUGCAGAUGCUACCGGGGGGAUUGUUCACUUAAAUGUGUCAGCAUACUACCCUGUGGCGGAAGGUAGGUUGGACCAAGUCAUAUUCGAAGUAGGGUGAGACUCGUUGAGCCAAGUCACAAUCGAGACUCAUGGGCACUGUGUCUAUACACUUUAAAUAAAUUGGUUGUAUAUUUUUAACAGUUCAAGCUUCUCAUGAUCCAACAAGUCAUCCCCAACUUGAGACAAUCUUAUGUGUGGUUGAAAUAG